Molecule: long non-coding RNA, 67 nt
Organism: Oxyura jamaicensis (ruddy duck)
Lineage: Eukaryota; Metazoa; Chordata; Aves; Anseriformes; Anatidae
Exons: 3
Source: RefSeq, a predicted model, not a curated record
AUUGUUUUCCAGAGCUGAACCAAUAAGAGAUGUUGUUUGUGUCUCUGUGAGAGCAUAUUUAAGAAAG